ACCCCAUUCUCUCUGUUCGUCCUUCCUUGACCAGUCUGUAAACCUUCACUGUUUGUUUGGGGAUCGUCCUGUCCAUCCAUGUAAAUACUCACUCUCAGGCCUGCCUGGGGAGUCGUGUCCCUCAGCUGCAGGGCACUGUGUUGGGAAACCAUUGGCUGGGCCUUUGAGGACACAGAUCAGGAGAAAGACAACUUUCCUCUGCUCGGAACACUCACUCACACAGAAGGGCUGGCCGCCUCCCUGAGCCGGCUGGGAGUGGACGACAGGACCUACCUCCCCAGAGCAGGGGCCUGGGGCUUCCCGCCAAAGCUGCCGCGGAACCCCGCUAGUGCGACCACCCUCCCUCCGUCGGUAUGUCCUGCUUUCCAGCUGAACCCAAACUACAAGUGGGUUUUAAAAAAAUAAACACCACCA
Molecule: small RNA, 414 nt
Filed under: Pan troglodytes (chimpanzee)
Lineage: Eukaryota; Metazoa; Chordata; Mammalia; Primates; Hominidae
Description: processed transcript
Source: RNAcentral